CAGCCGCCGCGGUAAUACGUAGGUGGCAAGCGUUGUCCGGAAUUAUUGGGCGUAAAGCGCGCGCAGGUGGUUUAAUAAGUCUGAUGUGAAAGCCCACGGCUCAACCGUGGAGGGUCAUUGGAAACUGUUAAACUUGAGUGCAGGAGAGAAAAGUGGAAUUCCUAGUGUAGCGGUGAAAUGCGUAGAGAUUAGGAGGAACACCAGUGGCGAAGGCGGCUUUUUGGCCUGUAACUGACACUGAGGCGCGAAAGCGUGGGGAGCAAACAGGAUUAGAUACCCCCGUAGUCCCUGUCUCUUAUAA
RNAcentral lists this ribosomal RNA (301 nucleotides) under uncultured bacterium. RNAcentral's name for it is "partial 16S ribosomal RNA". It matches the Rfam family "Bacterial small subunit ribosomal RNA", at positions 509 to 809 of the family's 1533-position model. The record is from RNAcentral.